GUGCCAGCCGCCGCGGUAAUACGGAGGGUGCAAGCGUUACUCGGAAUCACUGGGCGUAAAGCGCGCGCAGGCGGCCUUUUAAGUUGGAUGUGAAAGCCUAUGGCUCAACCAUAGAACUGCAUCCAAAACUAUUAGGCUAGAGUGUGGGAGAGGAAGAUGGAAUUAGUUGUGUAGGGGUAAAAUCCGUAGAGAUAACUAGGAAUACCAAAAGCGAAGGCAAUCUUCUGGAACAUUACUGACGCUGAGGCGCGAAAGCGUGGGGAGCAAACAGGAUUAGAUACCCUGGUAGUCCACGCCCUAAACGAUGAAUGUUAGUCGUCGGGUAGCUAGUCUAUUCGGUGAUGCAGCUAACGCAUUAAACAUUCCGCCUGGGGAGUACGGUCGCAAGAUUAAAACUCAAAGGAAUAGACGGGGACCCGCACAAGUGGUGGAGCAUGUGGUUUAAUUCGAA
RNAcentral lists this ribosomal RNA (451 nucleotides) under uncultured Sulfurovum sp. RNAcentral describes it as "bacterial SSU rRNA". It matches the Rfam family "Bacterial small subunit ribosomal RNA", at positions 505 to 955 of the family's 1533-position model. Lineage: Bacteria; Pseudomonadati; Campylobacterota; Epsilonproteobacteria; Campylobacterales; Sulfurovaceae. The record is from RNAcentral.